CCUACGGGCGGCUGCAGUGGGGAAUAUUGCACAAUGGGCGCAAGCCUGAUGCAGCCAUGCCGCGUGUGUGAAGAAGGCCUUCGGGUUGUAAAGCACGUUCAGCGGGGAGGAAGGCGGUGAGGUUAAUAACCUCAUCGAUUGACGUUACCCGCAGAAGAAGCACCGGCUAACUCCGUGCCAGCAGCCGCGGUAAUACGGAGGGUGCAAGCGUUAAUCGGAAUUACUGGGCGUAAAGCGCACGCAGGCGGUCUGUCAAGUCGGAUGUGAAAUCCCCGGGCUCAACCUGGGAACUGCAUUCGAAACUGGCAGGCUAGAGUCUUGUAGAGGGGGGUAGAAUUCCAGGUGUAGCGGUGAAAUGCGUAGAGAUCUGGAGGAAUACCGGUGGCGAAGGCGGCCCCCUGGACAAAGACUGACGCUCAGGUGCGAAAGCGUGGGGAGCAAACAGGAUUAGAUACCCUAGUAGUC
Molecule: ribosomal RNA, 465 nt
Filed under: uncultured Klebsiella sp.
Lineage: Bacteria; Pseudomonadati; Pseudomonadota; Gammaproteobacteria; Enterobacterales; Enterobacteriaceae
Description: bacterial SSU rRNA
Rfam family: Bacterial small subunit ribosomal RNA
Source: RNAcentral